CGGCGCGACUCGAGGCGAGACGGCAGCAGCGCGACUCGAGGUGAGACGGCAUGUGGCGGCACACACGGCGCGGUACCACCACCUCCGCCACCUUCGCGCCGCUCUCGCCGCGGCCCUGAUGGAUUUGUGUGCGCUGGUCUUCCAGUAGCGCGGGCAGCGGGGGUUAGGGUUCUUGGAGGUUGGAGCUCGAUAUAUUCAAGGAGAAAUCACUGCAGCUGAUUGCCGAUUGGCCCACCCGCCUGCUUCGCAUCGGCAGCCAGCAGGCCGGCCGGCCCGCCGGCGAGCAGCACCUACCGAUUCGCAGCUCUUACAUUUGUAGUGUUAGGGAAAUCAUUGCUCUUACGUUUCGUCACAUUUGUGCAGAUCGAGCAGCUGGUUUAUCUGAUCUUCUGAGCAUGAUGUUGCUUUCAAGCAGUUGGAGUGCUAGGGAGAGACUGAUCCGUUCAUGAUCCCAUCCUUGCUCCUGCCGUCCUGCCCAGCUGACUUUUGAAGUAGGAGAUGGAUACAACAUUAGGAGGCUCCAAGUUCAAUACUCAAGCUGCUAGAAAGACAUAGGACAAGACCAUGGUCUGAGUAUAAGAGGAUUUAUCAUGCUAUUUUAUCCUGCAUCAUCAUAUGUUAUCUACCAAUUGGAUUUUGAGAAUAGGCUUUGUCAGUUCUGUUUAUUUGUUGCUUUGACAAUCUUUCAAACAUGACUCAAUAGGUUUUAUGUAAAGACUCGCACCUGGGUAUUUAUUUUCAGUUUUUUUGAGAGUAUACGGUGAAGAUUCAAAUAUGUUUAUAUAUU
Panicum virgatum (switchgrass) is the source of this 787-nucleotide long non-coding RNA. RefSeq lists it as uncharacterized. The transcript is spliced from 3 exons. NCBI's taxonomy places the organism in Eukaryota, Viridiplantae, Streptophyta, Magnoliopsida, Poales, Poaceae. The record is from RefSeq and is a predicted model, not a curated record.